This 301-nucleotide ribosomal RNA is filed under the name uncultured bacterium. RNAcentral describes it as "partial 16S ribosomal RNA". It matches the Rfam family "Bacterial small subunit ribosomal RNA", at positions 509 to 807 of the family's 1533-position model. The record is from RNAcentral.
CAGUAGCCGCGGGAAUACGAGGGGGGCAAGCGUUGUUCGGAAUUAUUGGGCGUAAAGGGUGCGUAGGCGGUUUGAUAAGUCAUCUGUGAAAUCUCUGGGCUCAACCCAGAGUCUGCAGGCGAAACUGUCGAGCUUGAGUAUUGGAGAGGUGAGUGGAAUUUCUGGUGUAGCGGUGAAAUGCGUAGAUAUCGGAAGGAACACCUGUGGCGAAAGCGGCUCACUGGACAAUUACUGACGCUGAUGCACGAAAGCUAGGGGAGCAAACAGGACUAGAGACCCGAGUAGUCCCUGUCUCUUAUAC